UUUCCAGACUCCUACGGGAGGCAGCAGUGAGGAAUAUUGGUCAAUGGGCGCAGGCCUGAACCAGCCAAGUCGCGUGAGGGAAGACUGCCCUAUGGGUUGUAAACCUCUUUUAUAAGGGAAGAAUAAUGACUACGUGUAGUCAGAUGCCCGUACCUUAUGAAUAAGCAUCGGCUAACUCCGUGCCAGCAGCCGCGGUAAUACGGAGGAUGCGAGCGUUAUCCGGAUUUAUUGGGUUUAAAGGGUGCGUAGGGGGUCCGGAAAGACAGGGGUAAAGGCCCGGGGCCCACCCCCGGCGAGCCGUUGAAACUGUCGGACUAGAGACGGCGAGAAGUACGCGGAAUGCGCGGUGUAGCGGUGAAAUGCAUAGAUAUCGCGCAGAACUCCGAUUGCGAAGGCAGCGUACCGGCGCCGGACUGACGCUGAGGCACGAAAGCGUGGGUAUCGAACAGGAUUAGAUACCCUGGUAGA
This 468-nucleotide ribosomal RNA is filed under the name uncultured bacterium. RNAcentral's name for it is "partial 16S ribosomal RNA". It matches the Rfam family "Bacterial small subunit ribosomal RNA", at positions 328 to 794 of the family's 1533-position model. The record is from RNAcentral.